GACGAACGCUGGCGGCGUGCUUAACACAUGCAAGUCGAACGGAAAGGCCCUGCUUUUGUGGGGUGCUCGAGUGGCGAACGGGUGAGUAACACGUGAGUAACCUGCCCUUGACUUUGGGAUAACUUCAGGAAACUGCGGCUAAUACCGGCUAGGAGCUCCUGCUGCAUGGUGGGGGUUGGAAAGUUUCGGCGGUUGGGGAUGGACUCGCGGCUUAUCCGCUUGUUGGUGGGGUAGUGGCUUACCAAGGCUUUGACGGGUAGCCGGCCUGAGAGGGUGACCGGCCACAUUGGGACUGAGAUACGGCGCAGAGUCCUACGGGAGGCAGCAGUGGGGAAUAUUGCACAAUGGGCGGAAGCCUGAUGCAGCAGCGCCGCGUGCGGGAUGACGGCCUUCGGGUUGUAAACCGCUUUCGCCUGUGACGAAGCGUGAGUGACGGUAAUGGGUAAAGAAGCACCGGCUAACUACGUG
RNAcentral lists this ribosomal RNA (468 nucleotides) under uncultured bacterium. Its description in RNAcentral is "partial 16S ribosomal RNA". It matches the Rfam family "Bacterial small subunit ribosomal RNA", at positions 28 to 507 of the family's 1533-position model. The record is from RNAcentral.